Molecule: ribosomal RNA, 667 nt
Filed under: bacterium LB-18
Lineage: Bacteria
Description: bacterial SSU rRNA
Rfam family: Bacterial small subunit ribosomal RNA
Source: RNAcentral
ACCUGGUAGUCUCACGCUGUAAACGAUGUCGACUUGGAGGUUGUGCCCUUGAGGCGUGGCUUCCGGAGCUAACGCGUUAAGUCGACCGCCUGGGGAGUACGGCCGCAAGGUUAAAACUCAAAUGAAUUGACGGGGGCCCGCACAAGCGGUGGAGCAUGUGGUUUAAUUCGAUGCAACGCGAAGAACCUUACCUACUCUUGACAUCCACGGAAUUCGCCAGAGAUGGCUUAGUGCCUUCGGGAACCGUGAGACAGGUGCUGCAUGGCUGUCGUCAGCUCGUGUUGUGAAAUGUUGGGUUAAGUCCCGCAACGAGCGCAACCCUUAUCCUUUGUUGCCAGCACGUAAUGGUGGGAACUCAAAGGAGACUGCCGGUGAUAAACCGGAGGAAGGUGGGGAUGACGUCAAGUCAUCAUGGCCCUUACGAGUAGGGCUACACACGUGCUACAAUGGCAUAUACAAAGAGAAGCGAACUCGCGAGAGCAAGCGGACCUCAUAAAGUAUGUCGUAGUCCGGAUUGGAGUCUGCAACUCGACUCCAUGAAGUCGGAAUCGCUAGUAAUCGUAGAUCAGAAUGCUACGGUGAAUACGUUCCCGGGCCUUGUACACACCGCCCGUCACACCAUGGGAGUGGGUUGCAAAAGAAGUAGGUAGCUUAACCUUCGGAGGGC